UGAUGAAAACCACCUGGGGAUUGUACAAUUUUAGUACAUAUCAAAACCUUUUAGUAACUUGUGAACUCCCUAAUCCACAGACAUUCUAAUAAAAGAUUUUCAUCGCGGCCGGUCGGCUUGCCCCUUGGCAGCUGCCGAUGAUAAGUGACUUUUUUUCUAACACCUUCCUAUUCCUCACGGCGAAGGACCCUACCUCUUCCCCUUCCAUAAAUUUAUCACUCUCUUUU
Molecule: long non-coding RNA, 227 nt
Filed under: Gossypium barbadense (sea-island cotton)
Lineage: Eukaryota; Viridiplantae; Streptophyta; Magnoliopsida; Malvales; Malvaceae
Description: long non-coding RNA (GBAR_LNC019388)
Source: RNAcentral